Camelus dromedarius (Arabian camel) is the source of this 605-nucleotide long non-coding RNA. RefSeq lists it as uncharacterized. The record is from RefSeq and is a predicted model, not a curated record. Lineage: Eukaryota; Metazoa; Chordata; Mammalia; Artiodactyla; Camelidae. The transcript is spliced from 3 exons.
CUGAGUCCACAACCUCAGUCAAUACAAGCCUAGGAUGGCCACUGUGUUCACCUUGGUUAUGUGUGUAAAUUUGUAACUCCAGGAUGAAGUAAUGAAUCAACAGCAUUGAUGCUUUAAUGUCACGUGUGCUUCAGGGCUCCUAGGUGACUGACAUGCUUGAGGGGCCCUGUUUCUCCAUCUCCAUGUUGUCUCAGGCUAACAUCCAGCCCAUCCCAGCCCCUCCAUAGCUGCCACUGUUCUGAUUGGCCCAUCCUGCAUCAUGAUGGCCUUGGCUUGCAGAGGACAGCAGAAGUGAUGCUGUGUGACUUCCAAGACUCGGCCAUAAGAGGGUACAGCCUCUGCCUGGUUUCUGUUUAUUUCGACACGCAGCUGCAUGGCCCUGAGCGGGGCAGAAGCCACCUGCGGGAGAGACCAUGUGGGGAGGACAUGCAGAGACAGAGAGAGGUGCCCAAGGAGCCCCAGCUGUGUCUUCCCAGUGCAGAUGCCAGACGUGGGAGUGAGGAAGCCUUUGAGAUGCCUCUGGCCCCAGCUGCUGUCUGAGCGACGUCUGUGUGAGGGACCCCCAGGGAGCGCUGCCUGCUGAGCCUCGUCAGCUCAGAACCGUG